RNAcentral lists this ribosomal RNA (503 nucleotides) under uncultured bacterium. Its description in RNAcentral is "bacterial SSU rRNA". It matches the Rfam family "Bacterial small subunit ribosomal RNA", at positions 26 to 518 of the family's 1533-position model. The record is from RNAcentral.
AGAACGAACGCUGGCGGCGCGUUUAAGCAUGCAAGUCGAGCGGCAAGGGCCUUCGGGCCCCUAGAGCGGCGGACGGGGUGAGUAACACGUGGACAAUCUGCCCCCCGGCCCGGGAUAGCCCAGGGAAACCUGGAUUAAUACCGGAUGAGACGGGACCCGCGAUGGCGGGACCCGGGAAAGGCGCUGCGGCGCCGCCGGGGGAUGAGUCUGCGUCCCAUUAGCUAGACGGCGGGGUAACGGCCCACCGUGGCGACGAUGGGUAGCCGGCCUGAGAGGGUGGACGGCCACAUUGGAACUGAGACACGGUCCAGACUCCUACGGGAGGCAGCAGCUAAGAAUCUUCCGCAAUGGGCGAAAGCCUGACGGAGCCGACGCCGCGUGAACGAAGAAGGCCGUGAGGUUGUAAAGUUCUUUUCGGGAGGGGGAACAACCGUGGCAGGGAAUGGCCGCGGGAUGACGUGAAUCCCGGAAUAAGCCCCGGCUAACUACGUGCCAGCCGCCGC